Molecule: ribosomal RNA, 253 nt
Filed under: uncultured bacterium
Lineage: Bacteria
Description: partial 16S ribosomal RNA
Rfam family: Bacterial small subunit ribosomal RNA
Source: RNAcentral
UACAGAGGUCCCAAGCGUUGUUCGGAUUCACUGGGCGUAAAGGGUGCGUAGGCGGGUCUUUAAGUCAGGGGUGAAAUCCUGGAGCUCAACUCCAGAACUGCCUUUGAUACUGAGGAUCUUGAGUCCGGGAGAGGUGAGUGGAACUGCGAGUGUAGAGGUGAAAUUCGUAGAUAUUCGCAAGAACACCAGUGGCGAAGGCGGCUCACUGGCCCGGUACUGACGCUGAGGCACGAAAGCGUGGGGAGCGAACAGG